GGCUUAGUGGCCAAGUGGUACGGCGUCGGUCUCGUAAACCGAAAAUCCAGGGUUCGAAUCCCUGCUGAGCCU
Molecule: non-coding RNA, 72 nt
Organism: Centruroides sculpturatus (bark scorpion)
Lineage: Eukaryota; Metazoa; Arthropoda; Arachnida; Scorpiones; Buthidae
Source: the annotation of a RefSeq genome assembly